This 207-nucleotide long non-coding RNA is filed under the name Ananas comosus (pineapple). RNAcentral describes it as "long non-coding RNA (ACOM_LNC023738)". The record is from RNAcentral. Lineage: Eukaryota; Viridiplantae; Streptophyta; Magnoliopsida; Poales; Bromeliaceae.
UUUUUUUUUUUCAAAACGAAGUCCUCUCCUUCUUUAUCCGUAAUGUUUUUCUUACAAAAUUUUUUUCACAUGAUCUUUGUAUUCUUUUAUUUUACUAUUUCUGUAGUGUUUUAUAUUUUACGAUUGUUUUUUAUCGUUUCUAUUUGUGCGCUUGUCGUAAUAGAAACUUUUGCUUCUGCUAUUAACGGUCGUCUUUUACGACGAAAA